This 1731-nucleotide long non-coding RNA is filed under the name Homo sapiens (human). RNAcentral's name for it is "HSALNT0378184". Lineage: Eukaryota; Metazoa; Chordata; Mammalia; Primates; Hominidae. The record is from RNAcentral.
ACUUCCUUGAAGACACCUGCCAUGAACUCUUUCUCCAGCAGCGCUGAGGAGUGCGACAUUCAGGAAAUGGCAAUGCGGCAGUAAGGAAGGAAUCUGUGCCCUUUAAUGACCUAGAGGAGUAGAUCCACUUCGCCACCUGGACCGGCCAGACUAAUGUGGCCCGGACUCUCAGCUGGACUGACAGGCAAAAUAUCUGUGUCCGUGUACGUUAUUCAUCUGUCACUGGGUCAAGGUCUCCGGGACAGACCCCCUACAGCUGGCGCUCCGUGUGAGGAAUGCUGCGAAGGAUCACGACGGACCCCCCAAAAUGAAGGUGAAAAGGACCGCAGAGUCAGUGAGUCAGAUACAAAGCUGGAAUAAGAGGAAUGACCACUUCGUCUGACAGACCUGUUGCUGCACACAUCUGUACCCUUCGGUCAACAGAACCCGAUGCAAAGAACAGAAAAGGGAGAGAUGUGGGAGUUCAGACAGGCUGGUGGCGUGUCCAGAAUUUAUUCCUUCCGGCCUAUAUCACCCAAACCUGAAAAGGGAAAGAAGGAUGUGAAGAAAAUAAUAUAGGAGGAAGAAGAAUGAAGAAACAGCGGGCAAGAAAAAGAAGAAGACUAGAAAGAGAAGAUGAAGCAGGAUAAAGUGGAGGAGAAAUAGCUUUACUGAAUGCUCCCAUAUUCCUCUUUUUUGGGUUGUGAACUUGUUCCAUUCAUUGUGGCAUCUUCCUUGUUUGAAGCUGAAUCUGGAGCAACAGUUCUUUUGGUAAAUGCUGGCAAGGUAAGAAGAAAAAGAAAAAUAAACCUAGGUGAAUAUAAAACUGGCCUAAAAAAUUAAUUUUGCAGAAGGUAGUUAAUGUAUCAUGGUAUUUGAUCGAGUUUUCUAUAAUUAAACUUCACAUGGACUAACAGACCUCCAAGCUAAGAAUAAAUACACUCAAUUUAUGACAUUUAAAAAAAACACGAGAAUUAAACUUUUUAUUUUAUUUGAAGAAUACCUGAGAGUAAAAAAUGUGUGCUUCGUCAGGAUACAAUGAUAUAAACCACACCGGUGUGCACGUGCACACGCACACACACUUGCACACUCGCAAAGAAUUUUAGAGGCAGAAAUCUUAAGGGCUCCUUUUUAUGGAAUCCUCUUUAUUACAACUUCUAGUCUAUUGAAAGUAGACCUGGAGUUUGUGUUUACUGUUCUUUUACUAUCUCCUACUCCUCGUCUGAGCUAUAGAUGCCUAUAUCCAACUGUCUGUGUGAAAUCUUCUCUCCUUAUCUCUACUCUCUGAUGCCUGCUCAUUCCUUACUCUUCUCCAACUUGAAAAAUGAUAUACCCGUCUGCCCAGUUUCUCAAACCGUGGUUCCUCUCUUCCUUUGUCCUGUCUGAUCCAUCCAUUCAGUUUAAGAGCGAGCUCUAAUGACUCUCCCUAUCAAUUUCACCUGAGUCCUGAUUCACACCAUCCCCAUUACUCUCAUCAGCCCCCAAGUCACCAUUGUCUCCCUUUCUGUUUUCUUCUUGCUCCCUUACGAUCCUUUCUCCACACCACAACCACAGUUACCUUUCGGAAAAGUCAAUCAAAUUACGUCAUUCUCCUGCAUGACUCCCUCAUCCUGCCCUUAAUGGUCGCCCAGUGAACUCAGAAUAAAAUCCACACAUCUGACUGUGGCUGCACCCUCUCACUCACUCGCUCAGUAGCCCGUAUCUCUAGGAGACCAUGGCCCUUUCUUCUCUGGAGCUUUUGUACUUUUUGCC